This is a long non-coding RNA of Xyrauchen texanus (razorback sucker), 659 nucleotides long. RefSeq lists it as uncharacterized. The record is from RefSeq and is a predicted model, not a curated record. NCBI's taxonomy places the organism in Eukaryota, Metazoa, Chordata, Actinopteri, Cypriniformes, Catostomidae. The transcript has 4 exons.
UAUUAUAUUACUAUUAUAUUUAGUGUAUUGCUAAUCAAUAUAUUGUUACUUCCCAGAUGACAGCUGCUCGCUUCAAGAGCAGGUGAAGCAAGUUGGGACAAUGUUGAAGACAUUUGCUCGCACUGGGCAAUCGGUAGGUGCAGAUCAAACCCUAAUGCUGCGACGUCUUGGGAGUUUGGCGAUGUUGUGCGUAGCAUGGACGACAAAAUGCUAUGCUGCAACGUUUCAGUGCCAAUGUGUCUGUUGGAGAGUUAUCCCUGACAGGGGAUCUGUUACUCCCCCCUAGACACCCAGGAACAUUUGGCGUUGCUUGACAACAGUUUGAGGCAGGAUAAAGAGCUCCAGCAACGAUUUCUUCGGUUUUUGGCAAUCAAAUGUGGGAGGGACCUAAAGACAACCGUGUGGCGAAUGCUUCAGAGUAUCUUCUCUAAUCACCUUUCCAUCAAUACAACCUGGACUGGUGUAGGGGAUAAAGCAUGUUUUAGAGACAUGUUCCUGAAGACCAUUGUUCAAAGAGCCAUCCGGAAGAACCCGGCAACACAGGAUGCCACUGAUGAGGCGAUCCAGGUUAACGUUAUGCGUUACCUGAAAGGAGCAUCUGAACAUGAAGGUGGAAAAAGCGCCGCACAGCUGAGAGGGACCCACAGCCGACCCCUUAA